AUGUACCACUUGUACACUCCGGUUCUGCGAGCGACGCCCUCACUCACCUGGCGGCCGCUCGCUACGUUUUGUUAACC
This 77-nucleotide small RNA is filed under the name Xanthomonas arboricola pv. populi. RNAcentral's name for it is "sX9 sRNA". It matches the Rfam family "Xanthomonas sRNA sX9". Lineage: Bacteria; Pseudomonadati; Pseudomonadota; Gammaproteobacteria; Lysobacterales; Lysobacteraceae. The record is from RNAcentral.